GCGGAUGUAGUCAAGUGGAUCAAGACAGUGGAUUGUGAUACCCCCCGCGCCGGAAA
Molecule: transfer RNA, 56 nt
Filed under: Ruellia simplex
Lineage: Eukaryota; Viridiplantae; Streptophyta; Magnoliopsida; Lamiales; Acanthaceae
Description: partial tRNA-His
Source: RNAcentral